Molecule: small nuclear RNA, 85 nt
Filed under: Octodon degus (degu)
Lineage: Eukaryota; Metazoa; Chordata; Mammalia; Rodentia; Octodontidae
Description: U4 spliceosomal RNA (ENSODEG00000024976.1)
Rfam family: U4 spliceosomal RNA
About the family: U4 small nuclear RNA (U4 snRNA) is a component of the major U2-dependent spliceosome.
Source: Rfam by way of RNAcentral
AGCUUUGCACAGGGGCAGUAUCGUAGCCAGUGAGGUUGAUCUGAGGCCUGAUUACUGCUAAUUGAAAACUUUUCUCAAAUUGUCC